This 323-nucleotide unclassified non-coding RNA is filed under the name fungal sp. RNAcentral describes it as "partial internal transcribed spacer region". The stretch from base 1 to 46 matches the Rfam family "Eukaryotic small subunit ribosomal RNA", at positions 1786 to 1831 of the family's 1831-position model. Lineage: Eukaryota; Fungi. The record is from RNAcentral.
AAGUCGUAACAAGGUUUCCGUAGGUGAACCUGCGGAAGGAUCAUUAACAAAUUACAAAUGCGAUCUGCAGCAAGACAGCAUCCGUGUGCGCAGCACAUGGUACCUCUCCUGCUCAGGUAUUUUACUGGCAGAUGCUGCGCAUCUGACUUCAGAUGCGCAGCAUCUGCUAGUAAAAAAGCAACUAGGUGUGCAAGCAAUUGCAUCAUCUUUACUGGCAGACACUACGCAUCUGAUUUCAGAUGCGUAGUGUCUGCCAGUUAAAAACGAUACAUGUUGACAACGACAGAACACACAAACUUUUAACAAUGGAUCUCUCGGCUCUU